This 468-nucleotide ribosomal RNA is filed under the name uncultured bacterium. Its description in RNAcentral is "partial 16S ribosomal RNA". It matches the Rfam family "Bacterial small subunit ribosomal RNA", at positions 28 to 507 of the family's 1533-position model. The record is from RNAcentral.
GACGAACGCUGGCGGCGUGCUUAACACAUGCAAGUCGAACGGAAAGGCCCUGCUUUUGUGGGGUGCUCGAGUGGCGAACGGGUGAGUAACACGUGAGUAACCUGCCCUUGACUUUGGGAUAACUUCAGGAAACUGGGGCUAAUACCGGAUAGGAGCUCCUGCUGCAUGGUGGGGGUUGGAAAGUUUCGGCGGUUGGGGAUGGACUCGCGGCUUAUCAGCUUGUUGGUGGGGUAGUGGCUUACCAAGGCUUUGACGGGUAGCCGGCCUGAGAGGGUGACCGGCCACAUUGGGACUGAGAUGCGGCCCAGACUCCUACGGGAGGCAGCAGUGGGGAGUAUUGCACAGUGGGCGGAAGCCUGAUGCAGCAACGCCGCGUGCGGGAUGACGGCCUGCGGGUUGUAAACCGCUUUCGCCUGUGACGAAGCGUGAGUGACGGUAAUGGGUAAAGAAGCACCGGCUAACUACGUG